AAGUGCCAAAUCAUCACUUCAUCAACAUGCAUCACAACUCGUAAGAUUCACCAAACAAUAAUUCAUUCAUGUACUAGCAUGUCCACAACAGCCACAUUGAACAUCAAGCCACAGAUUGGCCUAGCUCACAACCAUUAGAGUGACCAUCACAAUAUCUAAGUUUGAACUAAAAGAUUUGAUAUCUAGGGAGUCUAAACAACUAAACAUUAGUAUUCACGAGCACUUCAAUUCACUUGCUGUCCAUAAGAUGUGCUACCUGAAAAUCAAAACAAAUAUAAGUCAGAUUUGCUAACAAAGAUUCUAAAAAGAAAUGUCAUCUAUUUAUUAGGAAGCUUUGAAACUAGUUAACAAAUUCAAUACAUAUGCUAGUCCAAAAUUCUGAAAACAGAUAACAAGUAAACAACCAACACUUUUGGCACCAAUGCAUAGUUUCAGAGUUCCAUACAGCAAGAUAAUCACAUCAUAUAAUGCUAUAAGAAUUAAUUUCAACCUUUUGUUCUAGAUCAGUAGUAACAGCAGCAGCAGACAAGAAGCACUUACUUGAAGCAAAAUCAUGGGACAGAAUUGUUUUGGAGUGUCAUGAUAGUUUCUGCAUUGGACUAUGUUUACCUAUAUACAAAUAAUAGAUAUGAAGAUUGUAUACUAUAUCGAAUAGAUGUGCCAAAUAAUAAAUUAUAGCACAUACCUUUGUUUAUUUAUCAAAGUAUUGUCCAAGCAGCCACUCGUCAAACAAAGUCACAUGCAAUUCAGUUACAAGAACUCAAAUUCAGUAACUUCAGUGUUACAAAAGUUCCAGAAAUCCGUUGAGCACAAAUCAGUAAGCAUUUCAGUUAAAUCAACCAUAAGUGCAUCAUAUCCCAGUGCGUUGAGAGCAGCAGCAUGUAGUACAUCUAGGAACUGAUGCAAUUUAGAUGAAGAAAUCCGGCUUUUAGUUUCAGAAACUACUAUACUCACAUAUAGAAAAUGGAGGAGCAGCAGGACUGGCGGCUCCUCCUUGCUUGGGGAGUUGUACGACAUGGCACGCGCAGCAGCCGGGGACCUACGUCCUUGGAGAUGAAAUCUGGAGGAAGGCCCGGAUGCCUCGGCGUCGCCACAGAGCAGCAUAACGAGGAGUAAUUAGUGUAGAACUGCAUCUGGGGCAGAUGGGGAAGAGGAUGGUUACCAGGAAGUAGAUGGGGCACUCGUCGAGGUCGGCGCGCGCGUCGUCGGCGCCCCGGUGGAAGGGCGUGAGCUUGGCAUCAAGGAUGAGGCGGCGGAGCUUCCUGAGGUUCCCAUGGCAUGGAUCUGGCUGGGGGAGAAGGGCGCGGCCACCACGUCGUGGAUCUGGCUGGAGAAGAAGAAGGGAGGUUCCCAUGGCAUGGAUCUGGCCGGAGGAGAAGGGUGCGGCCUCCUCGUCGUGGAUUUGACUGGAAGAGAAGAACGGCGGCCACCCACAUGGAGUCGACAUGGGAAGGACCAAAGGAGAGACCGUGAGAGGAUAAGGGAGGGGAUAGGAAGGAGCCGACGCUCAGUUUUCUUAUUCUAUUUUUUCUCACGUAAUAGUAACAUAUAAUCUGUCAUAGAUUAGGG
This 1569-nucleotide long non-coding RNA is filed under the name Sorghum bicolor (sorghum). Its description in RNAcentral is "long non-coding RNA (SBIC_LNC013582)". Lineage: Eukaryota; Viridiplantae; Streptophyta; Magnoliopsida; Poales; Poaceae. The record is from RNAcentral.